AAAAAAAAAACUAAAGUCGCUUACUAAAACUAAAAGGAAAUUUUCAUUGAAGCGGGUUUGAGAAACUAAAAGGGUUUUUUUUCUCACGGUUUUAACCUAGAUUUACAAAACUGAUAAUCAUAUCUUCGAUUGUUCUUCUUCUUUUUCUAAUCGCCGUUCUUCUGCAGAGCUUUGGUUCACAAAACUAUUCAUCGUCUCUUUGACUAUUUGCCGUUCUUCAACGGAACUUUGGAUGGUAGGAAGAGCAUAGAUUGAAGUUCAUGUGGACUGUGUUUGGACGAAUAAAUUAAAUGUUAGAUAGAUUCUAGAUUUCUUGAACUAUUAGUUCUUUUUGGAGAUUCAUUAGCUUUCUUAAUUGAUGUAUUUAUAUUAUAGUAAUGGUUUUUUUAUUAGAAUGAUCGUUAAGGAUAUUUUAUUUUUAAAUUUUAUUUCUUGACAAAGAGAACAAUGGAUAUUUUAUUGUAAAAAAAAGUAAAACUUAAUUUGAAAUUAAUGUUUUACUUUUGAAA
Molecule: long non-coding RNA, 509 nt
Organism: Spinacia oleracea (spinach)
Lineage: Eukaryota; Viridiplantae; Streptophyta; Magnoliopsida; Caryophyllales; Amaranthaceae
Exons: 3
Source: RefSeq, a predicted model, not a curated record